UACGGAGGGUGCAAGCGUUAUCCGGAUUUACUGGGUUUAAAGGGUGCGUAGGUGGGCAGGUAAGUCAGUGGUGAAAUCUCCGGGCUUAACCCGGAAGCUGCCAUUGAUACUAUCUGUCUUGAAUAUCCUGGAGGUAAGCGGAAUAUGUCAUGUAGCGGUGAAAUGCUUAGAUAUGACAUAGAACACCCAUUGCGAAGGCAGCUUACUACGGGAUUAUUGACACUGAGGCACGAAAGCGUGGGGAUCAAACAGG
Molecule: ribosomal RNA, 253 nt
Filed under: uncultured bacterium
Lineage: Bacteria
Description: partial 16S ribosomal RNA
Rfam family: Bacterial small subunit ribosomal RNA
Source: RNAcentral